CCCUAUUAUUAAUAAGUAAAGGAAUUAGUAUGGAAUGAAAUUUAAUAAUUCUGGCGGUUAAUUUAAAAUUUAGAGGAGCUUGUUGGAUUGGAAUUUACUCUUUGUAUUUAAUUUAUAUAUUGUUUAUUCAUCUCUGUUAUAAGAUGAAAGUUGAGAAAAAAUGUAAAUUUUAUAUUUCAAGUCAAGAUGUAGCAUAUUUAAUUUAAAAAUUAGCUACAAUUAUUUAAUAAAUGGAUUUUAAUAAGAAAAAUUGAGAGAAAGUGGAUUUAAUUGUAAAAUUGGUUAGAAUGCUAAUAUGAAAUGUAUAAUUAAUGUA
Molecule: ribosomal RNA, 316 nt
Filed under: Acanthoprocta pustulata
Lineage: Eukaryota; Metazoa; Arthropoda; Arachnida; Opiliones; Gonyleptidae
Description: partial 12S ribosomal RNA
Source: RNAcentral